GAUGAACGCUGGCGGCGUGCCUAAUACAUGCUAGUCGAGCGAACGGACGAGAAGCUUGCUUCUCUGAUGUUAGCGGCGGACGGGUGAGUAACACGUGGAUAACCUACCUAUAAGACUGGGAUAACUUCGGGAAACCGGAGCUAAUACCGGAUAAUAUUUUGAACCGCAUGGUUCAAAAGUAAAAGACGGUCUUGCUGUCACUUAUAGAUGGAUCCGCGCUGCAUUAGCUAGUUGGUAAGGUAACGGCUUACCAAGGCAACGAUGCAUAGCCGACCUGAGAGGGUGAUCGGCCACACUGGAACUGAGACACGGUCCAGACUCCUACGGGAGGCAGCAGUAGGGAAUCUUCCGCAAUGGGCGAAAGCCUGACGGAGCAACGCCGCGUGAGUGAUGAAGGUCUUCGGAUCGUAAAACUCUGUUAUUAGGGAAGAACAUAUGUGUAAGUAACUGUGCACAUCUUGACGGUACCUAAUCAGAAAGCCACGGCUAACUACGUG
RNAcentral lists this ribosomal RNA (497 nucleotides) under uncultured bacterium. RNAcentral's name for it is "partial 16S ribosomal RNA". It matches the Rfam family "Bacterial small subunit ribosomal RNA", at positions 28 to 507 of the family's 1533-position model. The record is from RNAcentral.